CGUGGGCUUGAUGAGCGAUGGAUUGUUAGGUGUGGUUUUAUGCUACAUGGUUAUUUCACUCUUCAAGGAUAUAUUUUUACAGCUUGGAGCGUUAUUUUACAACAGUGUUCCACGUGGCCAUUUUAACCGCCAUUUUGAAUCGCCAUUUGCAUGGUGAACUGUGAAGCGUGGGGUGGCGUGGAUGAAGCGCGGCAGUUCCCUAUACACCGUGCAUACUGCAUAUAUCGUGAAGCGAGGCCUCCGGUGCGGCGAAGCAUGCAGUGUCUGCUAGACGACCAAAACUGCGGCAAGCAGUGAACAACAAAGUCGUGGCACGACCUGACCCCUGAUUAUGGGGACUAGUGAGGAGCCAAAUGAGUUAAAGGAAAGAGUCGUCAAGAACAUCCAGCAAGUGUGUGACGAACUGGUGGCGCUACUCGCCUACGGACGCUGGGCGAUCUCAAGAACGAGCAGAGCUCCGUGAGUGUUCACUUCUUCAGUCGUCCCGCCUCAACGUUCAGGGAGCACUGGGCCACUUUAAGCUGUCAAAGUCAAAGGUCGGUGAAGUUGCCACAAUCCUUGCAGCCCAUGCCCCCAUGUUUUGUCUUCCGUUCCGUGGACCAUGCAAGCAUAUAUGUACCUAUUCGAGGUGCUCUACAAGAAAGCCCUAUAGUUCGUUUUUCUUAAGUUCGACCCUCACUGUAAACAUCUGUUUGAACACAGC
Long non-coding RNA from Amphibalanus amphitrite, 703 nucleotides. RefSeq lists it as uncharacterized. Lineage: Eukaryota; Metazoa; Arthropoda; Thecostraca; Balanomorpha; Balanidae. The record is from RefSeq and is a predicted model, not a curated record. The transcript is spliced from 3 exons.